Molecule: ribosomal RNA, 786 nt
Filed under: uncultured Rhodobacterales bacterium
Lineage: Bacteria; Pseudomonadati; Pseudomonadota; Alphaproteobacteria; Rhodobacterales
Description: partial 16S ribosomal RNA
Source: RNAcentral
UUAGAACAGCACGUGCGGCUUUGCGCUGAACGGGUCGCGCAGCACCCGCAGGUCGGGACGCUCGGCGAUGGUGUAGCCCGCGCGGAAGUCGCCGAAGGCAACCGAGAAGCUGUCGGCGGCCGGGUCCGGCAUGUCCUCGGCGAUCAGCACCGGAUAGCCCAUCAGCCGGGCGGGUUCACCGGCGGCCAGCCCGUCGGACCACAGGAAGCGGCCGUCGGCGUCCUUCAGCUUGCGCACCUGGCCCGCGGUCUUGGAGUUCAUCACGAAGGUCGCAUUGGCGCGGUACUGGGCGCCAAGCGCGUACACCAGGUCGAUGAUCGCGUCGCCGUUGCCGACCUCGCCAUCGACGCCGGUGGCCUUGUAGCCGAUGUUGCCCCAGGUCCAGUUGUCGUUUUCCUCGACGUUGUAGUUGAGGAAGCCCGUGGGCUUGUCGACGCCGUCGCCAUUGAUGAACGCAUCCGCCUCGGACCGGGCGAAUUUUUCGGCAAUGCGGCCUGCCAGCCAGCCCUCGAUGUCAAAGGCGCUGUCAUCGAGCAGCCGCUGCGACGCCUUGGGCAGCGCGCUCAGCUCAUGCAGCGGGAUCGAGAUGCGGUCGAUGCUGCCAGUGGAGGUUUCCGCCGACGGGCCGGUUUCAUUGGCCCAGCCGGCGCCCAUUUCGCUGUGGUCGAUCAGCACGUCAUAGGACGUUGCCUCCACAUGCACUACAGAGGCCACGGCGCGGAUCGAGGCGGAGGCGUUCAGCACCGCCUUGACGGUGUCGGAGGUCUGCGGAUCGACCAGAUAGCC